Molecule: ribosomal RNA, 433 nt
Filed under: uncultured bacterium
Lineage: Bacteria
Description: partial 16S ribosomal RNA
Rfam family: Bacterial small subunit ribosomal RNA
Source: RNAcentral
AACGAACGCUGGCGGCAUGCCUAACACAUGCAAGUCGAACGAGACCUUCGGGUCUAGUGGCGCACGGGUGCGUAACGCGUGGGAACCUGCCCUUAGGUUCGGAAUAACUCCCCGAAAGGGGUGCUAAUACCGGAUAAUGUCUUCGGACCAAAGAUUUAUCGCCUUUGGAUGGGCCCGCGUUGGAUUAGCUAGUUGGUAGGGUAAAAGCCUACCAAGGCGACGAUCCAUAGCUGGUCUGAGAGGAUGAUCAGCCACACUGGGACUGAGACACGGCCUAGACUCCUACGGGAGGCAGCAGUGGGGAAUAUUGGACAAUGGGCGAAAGCCUGAUCCAGCAAUGCCGCGUGAGUGAUGAAGGCCUUAGGGUUGUAAAGCGCUUUUACCCGGGAUGAUAAUGACAGUACCGGGAGAAUAAGCUCCGGCUAACUCCGUG